UACGGAGGGUGCAAGCGUUAUCCGGAUUUACUGGGGUUAAAGGGUGCGUAGGCGGGCUUUUAAGUCAGCGGUGAAAUCUCCGGGCUCAACUCGGAAAUUGCCGUUGAUACUAUUAGUCUUGAAUUAAGUUGAGGUGGGCGGAAUAAGUCAUGUAGCGGUGAAAUGCUUAGAUAUGACUUAGAACACCGAUUGCGAAGGCAGCUCGCUAAACUUAUAUUGACGCUGAGGCACGAAAGCGUGGGGAUCAAACAGG
RNAcentral lists this ribosomal RNA (253 nucleotides) under uncultured bacterium. Its description in RNAcentral is "partial 16S ribosomal RNA". It matches the Rfam family "Bacterial small subunit ribosomal RNA", at positions 524 to 776 of the family's 1533-position model. The record is from RNAcentral.